UCACACCACACUGUCUUCUCCAUGUGAAGUAUUUCAAGCUAGAAUCAACAGAGCUGCAGGAGAAAAAGAAGGCAAGAAUUGAUCAGAGUAUGGAGUCUUUACCUUCACUUGCUUUCCGUGACUGCCAGAUCUAUCAGCUCAAGGUCGUUCAGAUGCGGCAAAAUUCAGGCUUCUGCCACAGCAUUGCUCCAUUCAGCAUCAAUGUCACUCCCAUUNAUCUCCAACAAAACAACUCUUCAAAAUAAAAGAAGCUGGAACAUCAGUGAAGGGACUUUUUGCUUUUUGGAUGAAGAAGAAUCAGAACAAAAGCUUAUAGUUUCUUCCUACUUCUCAGGACCCAAUCCCUUCCCAACAGGUUC
This 359-nucleotide long non-coding RNA is filed under the name Salvator merianae (Argentine black and white tegu). Its description in RNAcentral is "lncRNA (ENSSMRG00000011927.1)". Lineage: Eukaryota; Metazoa; Chordata; Lepidosauria; Squamata; Teiidae. The record is from RNAcentral.